CCGCGUGCAGGAUGAAGGCCCUCGGGUUGUAAACUGCUUUUGUACAGAACGAAAAGGUUUCUAUUAAUACUAGGGGCUCAUGACGGUACUGUAAGAAUAAGCACCGGCUAACUACGUGCCAGCAGCCGCGGUAAUACGUAGGGUGCAAGCGUUAAUCGGAAUUACUGGGCGUAAAGCGUGCGCAGGCGGUUAUUUAAGUUAGAUGUUAAAUCCCCGGGCUCAACCUGUGAAUUGCAUUUGAGACUGCUUGACUAGAGUACGGUAGAGGGGAAUGGAAUUUCUCGCGUAGCAGUGAAAUGCGUAUAUAUGCGGAGGAACACCCAUGGCGAAGGCAACCCCCUGGACCUGAAGGGACGCCCAUGAACCAAACCCUGGGGAGCAAACAGGAUUAAAUACCCUGGUAGU
RNAcentral lists this ribosomal RNA (405 nucleotides) under uncultured Comamonadaceae bacterium. RNAcentral describes it as "bacterial SSU rRNA". It matches the Rfam family "Bacterial small subunit ribosomal RNA", at positions 397 to 794 of the family's 1533-position model. The record is from RNAcentral. Lineage: Bacteria; Pseudomonadati; Pseudomonadota; Betaproteobacteria; Burkholderiales; Comamonadaceae.